GGAGGAAGCUCAGUAGCAGGUCAGCAUGGGUACGAUCCCCGCCGCACAGCGGCAACCCCUCACGAGUUCGAAUCUCGUAUCCUCCGCCA
This 89-nucleotide transfer RNA is filed under the name Streptomyces anulatus. RNAcentral describes it as "tRNA-Ser". The record is from RNAcentral. Lineage: Bacteria; Bacillati; Actinomycetota; Actinomycetes; Kitasatosporales; Streptomycetaceae.